CAGUAGCCGCGGGAAUACAGAGGGUGCAAGCGUUAAUCGGAAUUACUGGGCGUAAAGCGCGCGUAGGUGGUUCGCCAAGUUGGAUGUGAAAUCCCCGGGCUCAACCUGGGAACUGCAUCCAAAACUGGCGAGCUAGAGUAUGGUAGAGGGUGGUGGAAUUUCCUGUGUAGCGGUGAAAUGCGUAGAUAUAGGAAGGAACAUCAGUGGCGAAGGCGACCACCUGGACUGAUACUGACACUGAGGUGCGAAAGCGUGGGGAGCAAACAGGAUUAGAUACCCCGGUAGUCCCUGUCUCUUAUAA
This 301-nucleotide ribosomal RNA is filed under the name uncultured bacterium. RNAcentral describes it as "partial 16S ribosomal RNA". It matches the Rfam family "Bacterial small subunit ribosomal RNA", at positions 509 to 809 of the family's 1533-position model. The record is from RNAcentral.